This is a non-coding RNA of Acanthosepion pharaonis, 102 nucleotides long. Lineage: Eukaryota; Metazoa; Mollusca; Cephalopoda; Sepiida; Sepiidae. The record is from the annotation of a GenBank genome assembly.
CAUGUUGAAACACCGGUUCUCAUACGAUCAACAAAGUUAAGCAAUAUCAAGCCUGGUUUGUAACUAGAUGGGCAACUACAUGGGAAUACCAAGUGUUGUAAG